CCCUUAGAUGUUCUGGGCUGCACGCGCGCUACACUGAUGCUUUCAUCGAGUAUAUAACCUUACCAGACAUGGUUGGGUAAUCUUUUGAAACAGCAUCGUGAUGGGGAUAGAUUAUUGUAAUUAUUAGUCUUCAACGAGGAAUUCCUAGUAAGCGCGAAUCAUCAGUUCGUGCUGAUUACGUCCCUGCCCUUUGUACACACCGCCCGUCGCUCCUACCGAUUGAGCGAUCCGGUGAAUGUUUUGGACUGGCGUCAGAAGCGGUUCGCUCCUGACACUACGAAAUUUUGUAAACCUUAUCGCUUAGAGGAAGGAAAAGUCGUAACA
Molecule: ribosomal RNA, 324 nt
Filed under: uncultured eukaryote
Lineage: Eukaryota
Description: partial 18S ribosomal RNA
Rfam family: Eukaryotic small subunit ribosomal RNA
Source: RNAcentral